GAUGAACGCUGGCGGCGUGCCUAAUACAUGCAAGUCGAGCGAACAGACGAGGAGCUUGCUCCUUCGACGUUAGCGGCGGACGGGUGAGUAACACGUAGGUAACCUACCUAUAAGACUGGGAUAACUUCGGGAAACCGGAGCUAAUACCGGAUAAUAUUUCGAACCGCAUGGUUCGAUAGUGAAAGAUGGCUUUGCUAUCACUUAUAGAUGGACCUGCGCCGUAUUAGCUAGUUGGUAAGGUAACGGCUUACCAAGGCAACGAUACGUAGCCGACCUGAGAGGGUGAUCGGCCACACUGGAACUGAGACACGGUCCAGACUCCUACGGGAGGCAGCAGUAGGGAAUGUUACGCAAUGGGCGAAAGCCUGACGGAGCAACGCCGCGUGAGUGAUGAAGGUCUUCGGAUCGUAAAACUCUGUUAUUAGGGAAGAACAAACGUGUAAGUAACUGUGCACGUCUUGACGGUACCUAAUCAGAAAGCCACGGCUAACUACGUG
RNAcentral lists this ribosomal RNA (497 nucleotides) under uncultured bacterium. RNAcentral's name for it is "partial 16S ribosomal RNA". It matches the Rfam family "Bacterial small subunit ribosomal RNA", at positions 28 to 507 of the family's 1533-position model. The record is from RNAcentral.